Molecule: long non-coding RNA, 2308 nt
Organism: Carassius carassius (crucian carp)
Lineage: Eukaryota; Metazoa; Chordata; Actinopteri; Cypriniformes; Cyprinidae
Exons: 4
Source: RefSeq, a predicted model, not a curated record
AUUUUAUUUCAAACAAGUAGGCACACAUUGUUUUACCCAUGAAUUGCAAUUGAAGCACAGUAUUAAUCUGAAACCUGCAACAUUUCUGAAAGGUGCUCAUAAGUUAGCAGUGCUGUAGAACAGAAACAAGACCUUACAGCCAACUGUGCUCGCAGGAUGCUAAUGUGAGGUAUUCUAGCACAGCCUUACUUUACCAGGAGUAUUUUUAGUGUGUGUGGCUAAUUAGUUAGUGUAGCCCGGGCCUGGAGGUGGGCUUUAUCCUGUCCAGAUUUACAGAAGCGUAUCACAGUGUUGCUAAUCUUAUUAAGAGCAGCCAUGACAGAUGCACUGAUUCAGUCUAAUGCUACCUGCGAGAGCACCGAUCAGAGAAUCGCUGGCCAUUCAUAUCGUUGGGCUUCACUUAUCAGACACCAUGGACAACACCUGCCCAUCAACAGCAAGCUGCAUGACACCUGGGCUCUUCUUCAGAACCUGCUGAUGUGUAUGGUGUGCUUCUACUCGCUCUACUAUAUUGUGGUCAGUCUCUGCAUCGGCAUUCUCAGGGUGGAAGAGGUGGACAGCUUGUGACUACACAACUCAACCGGCAUGACAAAGUCCCAAGUAUUUAGGCCGAUGCUGAUUGUUCUAGUCUAGAGCAGGAUGGCAAACAGAUGAUAUUAUGCAGAUUUAUGUAUCACAUUCAAUGAUGCUAAAGCACACAUACUGUACAUUGACAACUAUUGAAACUGGAAGUUAAGACAGAAAAUGGCUGUAAAAGAGAGUUACACUCAAUAAUAACCAAUAAAUGGCAAAUUAUGGGUCUAUGGAUGUGCAGUUCAGUGGUGAAAUAAGUUUUGAUGUUACAUUUUGUCAUUAAGCAGAUGCUUUUAUCCAAAGAGACUUACAAAUGAGGACAAUGGAAGCAAUCAAAAUCAACAAAAGAGCAAUGAUAUACAAGUGCUAUAACAAGUCUCAGUUAGUUUUACACAGCACACGUAACGUACACACUUAACACGUACGUUUUUUUUAAUUAUAUAAUAAAUAAAAAGAAAACAGAAUAGAAAAAGAAUAGAGCACACUAGUGUUAGAGGCCUAUAAUAAAUGAAAGAAAAGGAACAGAUAGGGUUACAAAAGACAAAAGGAAAGCAAAAAAGAAUAGAGAAGCAAGUGUUAGUUUUUUUUUUUUUUAAACAAGCAGUUAGUAAAUGAAUGUGAGUGCAAGUCUAAAAGGGGCAUUUUUUUAGAGAAUAGAAUUAGAAUAGAGAGUGCUAUAGAGUUAGAAGCUCAAAUAAAGAUGGACGAGAUGUAUUUUAGUUGUUUCUUGAAGAUGGCUAAGGUCUCAGCUCCUCUGAUUGAGUUGGGCAGGUCACUCCACCAGGAGGGAAUCCGUAAAAGUGAUUUUGUGCCGCUUUGAGAUGAACACUAAAGAGACGUUCACUUGCAGAACUUCUAGAAGCACAUGAUAAUAAUGUUACUGUGUGUAGCUAGACGUGUUAGUGUUGUGUUGUGUGUUUUGUGUUGUGCAGUGAGGUGAUGUAUGUUCUGGGGGGUCUGAUAUUGGUGCGGAUGGAGAAGGAGUGUGUGUGGGUCUACGCCAUCACUGUCACACUGCUGUACGUCACUCUGACCGUAGCAGGUGACGAGACUUGUUCUGGUCAGAUCAGUUUGAUCAAUUAACCUGAACUGCUGAUAAAGGAACAUUAUGAAUGCAAAUCAAACAAUGCUGUAUCAUGCUGUCAACAAGCACAGAAAAAGCACAUCUCUCAUCCCACAGUUUGUGAAAGACGAGCAGAAAUCAUGUUUAUGGAAAUGUCCUUGCAAUGGAAGACUGUGGGCCAGUUUACUCAUAAUAGAGUUGCAUAUGAGUCAGUUGUUCCUGGGAUUCGGUAACAUUUAAACUUGGAAUAUAAUUUUUUUUAAACAACAUAUGAUUCAUAUUCUAAAUUUUCUACAUCAUUAUACACAUAUCUGACCUCCAAAAUAAAGCAAUAAUCCCCAUGAAGCCUUCGUUUACAGUGAAUUUAUAACCGCUAAGGAGCGUUGUUAAGCUGAGUGACUAAAACCCCCUCAGCUGUUAUAAAUUCACUGUAAACUACAGCUUUUGGGGCUUAUUGCUUUUAUAAAACAGUUAUUCCAUAUACGUUGUAAGGUUUCACAGAAUUAAACAGAGCACAUAAAGUGUAAUGACAUUAAUAAAACGGUAUUCUUCCACCAAACAAUGUAGUUCCUCAGAAACAGGUGUGCUUCCAACAAACCGGUUGCUGAGCACAACACAGAAGUAAACAAGGUGUGUGUUUGUAGAGUAAUUUACAACAGCUUCGAAUGUGGC